Molecule: ribosomal RNA, 861 nt
Filed under: uncultured bacterium
Lineage: Bacteria
Description: bacterial SSU rRNA
Rfam family: Bacterial small subunit ribosomal RNA
Source: RNAcentral
AGAGUUUGAUCCUGGCUCAGAACGAACGCUGGCGGCAGGCUUAACACAUGCAAGUCGAACGAAGCCUUCGGGCUUAGUGGCGGACGGGUGAGUAACGCGUGGGAACGUGCCCUUUGCUACGGAACAGUCCUGGGAAACUGGGUUUAAUACCGUAUACCCUCUUUGGAGGAAAGAUUUAUCGGCAAAGGAUCGGCCCGCGUUGGAUUAGGUAGUUGGUGGGGUAAAGGCCUACCAAGCCGACGAUCCAUAGCUGGUUUGAGAGGAUGAUCAGCCACACUGGGACUGAGACACGGCCCAGACUCCUACGGGAGGCAGCAGUGGGGAAUCUUAGACAAUGGGGGCAACCCUGAUCUAGCCAUGCCGCGUGAUCGAUGAAGGCCUUAGGGUUGUAAAGAUCUUUCGCUGGGGAAGAUAAUGACGGUACCCAGUAAAGAAGCCCCGGCUAACUCCGUGCCAGCAGCCGCGGUAAUACGGAGGGGGCUAGCGUUGUUCGGAAUUACUGGGCGUAAAGCGCGCGUAGGCGGAUUGGAAAGUUGGGGGUGAAAUCCCGGGGCUCAACCCCGGAACUGCCUCCAAAACUAUCAGUCUGGAGUUCGAGAGAGGUGAGUGGAAUUGCGAGUGUAGAGGUGAAAUUCGUAGAUAUUCGCAGGAACACCAGUGGCGAAGGCGGCUCACUGGCUCGAUACUGACGCUGAGGUGCGAAAGUGUGGGGAGCAAACAGGAUUAGAUACCCUGGUAGUCCACACCGUAAACGAUGAAUGCCAGACGUCGGCAAGCAUGCUUGUCGGUGUCACACCUAACGGAUUAAGCAUUCCGCCUGGGGAGUACGGCCGCAAGGUUAAAACUCAAAGGAAUUGACGG